This is a long non-coding RNA of Pipra filicauda (Wire-tailed manakin), 2486 nucleotides long. RefSeq lists it as uncharacterized. Lineage: Eukaryota; Metazoa; Chordata; Aves; Passeriformes; Pipridae. The transcript is spliced from 3 exons. The record is from RefSeq and is a predicted model, not a curated record.
GGUUUGGGCAGGAGCAGCAUUGCCAUUGCCCUGGGAUAAUGGCAUCAUUGCUCUGCCUGCCUCUGGUGUCAGCACCUCUUAAAUCAAAAUCUCUGGCAAUUUUUCUUCAUUAUGAGGAGAGGGUUUGUAUUGAGUGGUUUCAGAAAAGAGGUGUCCAGUUCUUCCAGGGAAGGGAGCCUUUUUGGGGCUUGGACUGUCUCCCACCUGGCAGCAGUGGUGACUGGAUCACAAAGCCUCCUGGAGCCCCUGGACCAUUCCUGGUAGUGCAGAUUGUUGUGUUAGUAUUGUAAUAACUUUACUUUGGUGGUGAUUGUGCUUUGAUUUUUAAAACUGGAGUCCUCUGACUUUAAAUUUAAGUCUGUUUGCUGAAGUAUAGUGACCCUGGGGCUGUGAAAUCUAGUUCUGAAAGCUACCUGUAUUUGUGGGUAGAGGAAAUGUAGUGAUUGCUAAAGUGAAGACAGUGCUAGCUGAACACAAACCCCAGCCUAAAUUUUAUGGCUGUCCUGCCAGGGGCACAAAUUUUUUCAGACUUACCCUCCUGGCCUAGCAAGACUUUUCUUGUGCCAGUGAAUGUGUGUUAGGAGCUGGGAGGAAAGCCAAUAACUCCUGUGUCAUGAGGAGCAUGUCUCAAGACAAAGAAAGUGUGAGUUUAGGUGCCACAUGAAAGCCAUUUCUGCUAAUGUGUGUUCCAGCUUUUAAAAUAUAUAAAAAAGUAUGGUCUAAUUCAGAGUAAUAAAGCAUUCCAUGCAUGCUCUGUGACCAUGCUUUAUUAGAAGUGAAAAAAAUAAUCUUAGUUGGAGACAAUUUGAUAUGAACCACCCCAUCCUUGACUUGGACCUGCUUGAGCCAUUAACUGAGAAUGGGGCUAAUAGUCUGGGAGUGAACUGCUGGGCAAAGCUGAAAAGGGAAUGAGGAGCCACCUCCCAGCCAAGAACAAUCUCACUGGGGCAGAUAAACCCUCUGGCACUUCUGAAAAACCACACCCAUUUUCAUCAGAUGAGCUCCUAGACUGGUGCUUCAAGGCAAAAGGAACAGCUUCUGGAAAUCAGCUUCCUGUGCUACUGAGCAGCUCCACGUAGGAGAGAAGACAAGAAAAAUCUUUGGAAGAAGAAAAGAUCAACAGCAAAGAUCACAUGGAAAUGGUUUGUUGAGGUUUUCAGACCUGCCUGACUUGUGCUUUUGGCCCUGAGCUUUGGUUCUUCACCUCCAUCUGCAUCCACAGGAUGUUCCAGAUCCUACUACAAAAUUCUACAGCUGAACCUGGGACAGGAGCCCCACUAUAGGACCAAAGCUGCUGCUUCUGUCUUUCCAUUCCCCACACCAUGUUGGCUCCUCGGAUCACACAGGUUGCCAGCAAUGUGAGUCUUCUAUAUCAUAAAGAAAAAGACACCCAAAGCAACGUUAUGAAGAGAAAUGGACAUUUUCUGUCCAUCAGACAAGAGAAGAAAUGUGUGGGAAGGGAGCAGGUGAACUUACUCUACAACACUUCUGAGUGUGAAGAGACUGUUUGUGCCACUGGCACAUCUCAUGGUCAUACCUCUGGUGCUGAGCCAUUUGUGGGGUCUCUCUACUGUGAUUUAAGAACAAGGAGUAACCAACUGUGCUCUCAGUCAGUCACAUCUGGAGAAAUCACAGCAGAUAUUCACUUACCAAAAACAAGGGACCUGCCUGGACCAGAAAAUGGAACUGAUGCUGCAAAGUCUCUACACUUGAAAAUACUGAAGAUGGCUACACUGGGACAAACUCACCACUGAGACAAGCAUCAUGAUUCUUGUAAAGAUAUGCUUUCAUCAAACCCAAGAUUGGCCUUAUCCACUCUUUAGGACUCAAACUGUUGUGGAGACCAACAGGGCAGUACUUAGUAAUGUGUCCUUUUCAAACAUGCACUUUUCAUUAAGUAACUUUUUUUAGACAAAGAACUUUUCGCGAGAGGAUGAGAGGAUCUGCCUGAUGAAAUAUUGACUCUCCCAAUUCAUUUUAGAUUCUCAAGCAUCAUUCAACAGCUCUGAAUUGACUAAUGGCCAUCACAGCAAAUGGAUUUCCACCUGAAUCUUUAGUUCUUGUCUGAAUGAUAUUAAUACACAUUGUUUAUCACUAAUGAGCUCUAGAAUAUGAUGUUAACAGAAGCAAUUAAGGCCCAGAAUAACUAUCUGCAACACUGUGCUGGGGCUGAAUGCAUGGGUAAUGAAUUACUUCCCUAGCUCAGCUCCAGUUUCCUCACUGCAAAUCGUACGUCAGAUCUCAGUAAGCUCAUCUGAGUGUCCCUGCUGUUGCCUUCAUUUCUAACUUGUGUGUGCCAGAUGUUAUUUAUAAAAGAAAGAAAUACAGAGUUGUUUUUUUUUUAAGACCUAGCCUUGUGGGUUUUAUUUGUUGUUGAGUGAUUGCAGCCACCUUCAAAGUGAGGUGUCAUAUUAAGACUACCUUUCCCUCUAGCAGGCAUAGAUUUAAACUUCUCCUAAGGUGUUUAAGUUCAGGAGAAUAAAGCU